Molecule: long non-coding RNA, 544 nt
Organism: Salvia miltiorrhiza (redroot sage)
Lineage: Eukaryota; Viridiplantae; Streptophyta; Magnoliopsida; Lamiales; Lamiaceae
Exons: 2
Source: RefSeq, a predicted model, not a curated record
ACGACCUGCAUUAAUUCCCCCAAAAUUCACAAAUCCACCAAUUAAGUGUGUGUGUGUGUGUGAGAGAGAGAGAGAGAGACAUUGAGUUGGGCAGUAAGGGGGUCGAAGCCAGUGCCAGCAGAAGCAAAACAGACUCCGGUCUUGAGGUCGUCAACGGAUAAUAGAGUACGCACCCAAAAAGUCGGUGACGAGCUUGCCGUUGGUGAACCUUCCGGUGGCAAUGUGGUCGGGGAGAUCCUUUCCGUAGGGCGGGAAGUUGCUCCGACUAAUAGUUUGAAUGUAGUUGUUGUUGCCGGAAUCAACUGUAGAGUCACCGAAAACAAAAACUGCAGGGAUUGAACUGUUAUUCUCACCCAACCUUCGCGUUUCUGCACUCUGCAAUGUCAAAACCGCAAGGAAAAGCAUAGAAACACAACCGGAGGGAGACAUGCUGCUUUUGGGAAUUCCCUGCAGUUUCUGUCUAUAUGUAUAAUUCUAAAUAACUGUUUUCUUUUUUGAAAAAAAUGGAAAUAUAUGGCCCAGAAGAUGGGAGGCUUUCUUGGAA